GGUUAAGCGACUAAGCGUACACGGUGGAUGCCCUGGCAGUCAGAGGCGAUGAAGGACGUGCUAAUCUGCGAAAAGCGUCGGUAAGGUGAUAUGAACCGUUAUAACCGGCGAUGUCCGAAUGGGGAAACCCAGUGCAAUUCGUUGCACUAUCGUUAACUGAAUACAUAGGUUAACGAGGCGAACCGGGGGAACUGAAACAUCUAAGUACCCCGAGGAAAAGAAAUCAACCGAGAUUCCCCCAGUAGCGGCGAGCGAACGGGGAGCAGCCCAGAGUCUGAAUCAGCUUGUGUGUUAGUGGAACGGUCUGGAAAGUCCGACGGUACAGGGUGAUAGUCCCGUACACCAAAAUGCACAGGUUGUGAACUCGAAGAGUAGGGCGGGACACGUGGUAUCCUGUCUGAAUAUGGGGGGACCAUCCUCCAAGGCUAAAUACUCCUGACUGACCGAUAGUGAACCAGUACCGUGAGGGAAAGGCGAAAAGAACCCCGGCGAGGGGAGUGAAAAAGAACCUGAAACCGUGUACGUACAAGCAGUGGGAGCACCUUCGGGUGUGACUGCGUACCUUUUGUAUAAUGGGUCAGCGACUUAUAUUCUGUAGCAAGGUUAACCGUAUAGGGGAGCCGCAGGGAAACCGAGUCUUAACUGGGCGUUAAGUUGCAGGGUAUAGACCCGAAACCCGGUGAUCUAGCCAUGGGCAGGUUGAAGGUUGGGUAACACUAACUGGAGGACCGAACCGACUAAUGUUGAAAAAUUAGCGGAUGACUUGUGGCUGGGGGUGAAAGGCCAAUCAAACCGGGAGAUAGCUGGUUCUCCCCGAAAGCUAUUUAGGUAGCGCCUCGUGAACUCAUCUUCGGGGGUAGAGCACUGUUUCGGCUAGGGGGUCAUCCCGACUUACCAACCCGAUGCAAACUACGAAUACCGAAGAAUGUUAUCACGGGAGACACACGGCGGGUGCUAACGUCCGUCGUGAAGAGGGAAACAACCCAGACCGCCAGCUAAGGUCCCAAAGUCAUGGUUAAGUGGGAAACGAUGUGGGAAGGCACAGACAGCCAGGAUGUUGGCUUAGAAGCAGCCAUCAUUUAAAGAAAGCGUAAUAGCUCACUGGUCGAGUCGGCCUGCGCGGAAGAUGUAACGGGGCUAAACCAUGCACCGAAGCUGCGGCAGCGACACUAUGUGUUGUUGGGUAGGGGAGCGUUCUGUAAGCCUGCGAAGGUGACCUGUGAGGGUUGCUGGAGGUAUCAGAAGUGCGAAUGCUGACAUAAGUAACGAUAAAGCGGGUGAAAAGCCCGCUCGCCGGAAGACCAAGGGUUCCUGUCCAACGUUAAUCGGGGCAGGGUGAGUCGACCCCUAAGGCGAGGCCGAAAGGCGUAGUCGAUGGGAAACAGGUUAAUAUUCCUGUACUUGGUGUUACUGCGAAGGGGGGACGGAGAAGGCUAUGUUAGCCGGGCGACGGUUGUCCCGGUUUAAGCAUGUAGGCUGGUUGUCCAGGCAAAUCCGGAUAAUCAAGGCUGAGGUGUGAUGACGAGGCACUACGGUGCUGAAGUAACAAAUGCCCUGCUUCCAGGAAAAGCCUCUAAGCAUCAGGUAACAUUAAAUCGUACCCCAAACCGACACAGGUGGUCAGGUAGAGAAUACCAAGGCGCUUGAGAGAACUCGGGUGAAGGAACUAGGCAAAAUGGUGCCGUAACUUCGGGAGAAGGCACGCUGGUGUGUAGGUGAAGUCCCUGCGGAUGGAGCUGAGACCAGUCGAAGAUACCAGCUGGCUGCAACUGUUUAUUAAAAACACAGCACUGUGCAAACACGAAAGUGGACGUAUACGGUGUGACGCCUGCCCGGUGCCGGAAGGUUAAUUGAUGGGGUUAUCCGUAAGGAGAAGCUCUUGAUCGAAGCCCCGGUAAACGGCGGCCGUAACUAUAACGGUCCUAAGGUAGCGAAAUUCCUUGUCGGGUAAGUUCCGACCUGCACGAAUGGCGUAAUGAUGGCCAGGCUGUCUCCACCCGAGACUCAGUGAAAUUGAACUCGCUGUGAAGAUGCAGUGUACCCGCGGCAAGACGGAAAGACCCCGUGAACCUUUACUAUAGCUUGACACUGAACAUUGAGCCUUGAUGUGUAGGAUAGGUGGGAGGCUUUGAAGCGUGGACGCCAGUCUGCGUGGAGCCAACCUUGAAAUACCACCCUUUAAUGUUUGAUGUUCUAACGUUGGCCCCUGACCGGGGUUGCGGACAGUGUCUGGUGGGUAGUUUGACUGGGGCGGUCUCCUCCCAAAGCGUAACGGAGGAGCACGAAGGUUAGCUAAUCCUGGUCGGACAUCAGGAGGUUAGUGCAAUGGCAUAAGCUAGCUUGACUGCGAGCGUGACGGCGCGAGCAGGUGCGAAAGCAGGUCAUAGUGAUCCGGUGGUUCUGAAUGGAAGGGCCAUCGCUCAACGGAUAAAAGGUACUCCGGGGAUAACAGGCUGAUACCGCCCAAGAGUUCAUAUCGACGGCGGUGUUUGGCACCUCGAUGUCGGCUCAUCACAUCCUGGGGCUGAAGUAGGUCCCAAGGGUAUGGCUGUUCGCCAUUUAAAGUGGUACGCGAGCUGGGUUUAGAACGUCGUGAGACAGUUCGGUCCCUAUCUGCCGUGGGCGCUGGAGAAUUGAGGGGGGCUGCUCCUAGUACGAGAGGACCGGAGUGGACGCAUCACUGGUGUUCGGGUUGUCAUGCCAAUGGCACUGCCCGGUAGCUAAAUGCGGAAGAGAUAAGUGCUGAAAGCAUCUAAGCACGAAACUUGCCCCGAGAUGAGUUCUCCCUGAGACUUUAACCUAGAUUCUACGUCAGUACUUCAAAAAGCAUAAUCAA
RNAcentral lists this ribosomal RNA (2836 nucleotides) under Klebsiella pneumoniae. RNAcentral describes it as "23S ribosomal RNA". It matches the Rfam family "Bacterial large subunit ribosomal RNA". The record is from RNAcentral. Lineage: Bacteria; Pseudomonadati; Pseudomonadota; Gammaproteobacteria; Enterobacterales; Enterobacteriaceae.